RNAcentral lists this long non-coding RNA (1049 nucleotides) under Chrysolophus pictus (golden pheasant). RNAcentral describes it as "lncRNA (ENSCPIG00010014117.1)". Lineage: Eukaryota; Metazoa; Chordata; Aves; Galliformes; Phasianidae. The record is from RNAcentral.
GUUCCUGUGGCCUGUUGUUGCCUUAAUGUCUGAAGCUUUCACAUCUCUGCCUGCACAGGCCAUGAUUUGCUGAUGAACCCACUGGUGAGCAGUGCAUCUUGAAAAGAUGAAAACAUCAGAACUUACUGCUUGCAGAGUACUUAAAUCAUGAAUCAUUUGAAUGCCAUCUUCAAGGAGGAGAAUGGAAGACAGGCAGGUGUGUAAUGCUGGACACCUGCAGGAUGCAUUGGACAGAGGAUCUCUACACACAAACCUGGAAACAUUGCAGAAGAACAGAGGCAAUGAAGGUGUGACAAGACUAAGACCGAGAUGGAGAAAGACAAAACCAGAGUUUUGGAGUUCCUUAGGACACCACAUCCUCACCUUAGGACCCAGCAGAAGAAACUAGAAAAACACCACUUCAAGUUGUAAUUGGAUACAAGAUACUAAUUACAUAAAGCAUGCAUGUUGAUGGCACGACUUUCAGUGUACUGAAAGACAGUUUCUCCUAGACAGCGUGCCUCCUGCACGUCAAACUGAUGACUGUCUUUUGGUCAAGAACAUGUUCAAUGGGGAGUCUGACCAGUUUCAGCAUGUUACUGGCAGGAGACACUGCUCGAGUGGGUUCCUGUGUCCAACUCACACUAUGGUGCUGGAGCCCUGAUCUGCACGUACUGCACUGCCACAGUGCCUCUCUCCAUUCCUAAUGUCAGAACUGUCCUGGUCUGCAAUUGUGUCUAUUUUCUGUAGCAAAUGACUUUCACCUCUGGCAUAGUUCUGCACGUCUGGGUCAAUAGACUGCACUGCCUUGAUAGACAAUGAGGGACCUUUGUCCUGGCCGUGGCAGCACAUGAGAUCUUGCUCAGGUGCUGCUUCCCACCCUCGGUGCCCCCACCGUGCUGUGUGCUGCUCGCUGUUGGGGGAACGCUUUGAGCUUUGCCAUAGGCCCUCAAAAGAGGAACUGCAGAGGUAUAAUGGCAUCUUGUGAUGUGGAAGUGCAUCCUGCGCACCAGGCAAUGCCAGCAAAGGCACCGUCCCCUUAUCUCUGUUAUGUAACCACCAUCAAAACG